This 501-nucleotide ribosomal RNA is filed under the name uncultured bacterium. Its description in RNAcentral is "partial 16S ribosomal RNA". It matches the Rfam family "Bacterial small subunit ribosomal RNA", at positions 30 to 523 of the family's 1533-position model. The record is from RNAcentral.
AUUGAACGCUGGCGGCAUGCCUUACACAUGCAAGUCGAACGGCAGCACGGGUGCUUGCACCUGGUGGCGAGUGGCGAACGGGUGAGUAAUACAUCGGAACGUACCUUAUCGUGGGGGAUAACAAAUUGAAAAAUUUGCUAAUACCGCAUAAUACUCUGAGGAGGAAAGCUAGCUCGCACGAGCUGGCGCUAUGGGAGGAGCCUGCGCCCGAUGAGUUAGCUGGUGAGGUAAAAGCUCACCAGGGCGAUAAUCGGUAGCUGGUCUGAGAGGAUGACCAGCCACACUGGGACUGAGACACGGCCCAGACUCCAACGGGAGGCAGCAGUGGGGAAUAUUGUAAAAGGGGGGCAACCCUAGUCCAGCAAUACCGCGUGUGUGAAGAAGGCCUUCGGGUUGUAAAGCACUUUGGGCGGGGAAGAAGGUAUUCUGUUUAAGAGAUGGGAUAUUUGACGGUACCCGCAGAACAAGCACCGGCUAACUCUGUGCCAGCCGCCGCAGUAA